Molecule: ribosomal RNA, 318 nt
Filed under: uncultured bacterium
Lineage: Bacteria
Description: bacterial SSU rRNA
Rfam family: Bacterial small subunit ribosomal RNA
Source: RNAcentral
GAUGAGCGCUGGCGGCGUGCUUAACACAUGCAAGUCGAGCGAAGCGCUUUUGCGGAUUUCUUCGGAUUGAAGCAAUUGUGACUGAGCGGGCGCGGGUGAGUACGCGUGGUAACUGCUCAUACAGGGGAUAACAGUUGGAAACGGCUGCUAAUACCGCAUAAGCGCACAGUACCGCAUGGUACCGUGUGAAAAACUCCGGUGGUAUGAGAUGGACCCGCGUCUGAUUAGGUAGUUGGUGGGGUAACGGCCUACCAAGCCGACGAUCAGUAGCCGACCUGAGAGGGUGACCGGCCACAUUGGGACUGAGACACGGCCCAA